RNAcentral lists this ribosomal RNA (440 nucleotides) under uncultured bacterium. RNAcentral describes it as "partial 16S ribosomal RNA". It matches the Rfam family "Bacterial small subunit ribosomal RNA", at positions 338 to 795 of the family's 1533-position model. The record is from RNAcentral.
CCUACGGGUGACAGCAGUGGGGGAUAUUGCACAAUGGGGGGAACCCUGAUGCAGCGACGCCGCGUGGGUGAAGGAGCGUUUCGGCGCGUAAAGCCCUAUUGGCAGGGAAGAAGAUGACGGUACCUGACCAAGAAGCCCCGGCUAACUACGUGCCAGCAGCCGCGGUAACACGUAGGGGGCCAGCGUUAUCCGGAUUUACUGGGUGUAAAGGGGGCGUAGACGGCAAUGCAAGUCAGGAGUGAAAGCCGGGGGCCCAACCCCGGGACUGCUGUUGAAACUGGAUGGCGGGAGUGCAGGAGAGGCAGGCGGAAUGCCUGGUGUAGCGGUGAAAUGCGUAGAUAUUAGGAAGAACACCGGUGGCGAAGGCGGCCUGCUGGACUGUGACUGACGUUGAGGCCCGAAGGCGUGGGGAGCAAACAGGAUUAGAUACCCUUGUAGUC